UCCGUAGGUGAACCUGCGGAGGAUCAUA
Molecule: ribosomal RNA, 28 nt
Filed under: Apiospora sp. PS-IMM229
Lineage: Eukaryota; Fungi; Ascomycota; Sordariomycetes; Amphisphaeriales; Apiosporaceae
Description: partial 18S ribosomal RNA
Source: RNAcentral